AUACGUAGGGGGCGAGCGUUGUCCGGAAUGAUUGGGCGUAAAGGGCGCGUAGGCGGCCUGUUAAGUCUGGAGUGAAAGUCCUGCUUUCAAGGUGGGAAUUGCUUUGGAUACUGCCGCGCUUGAGUGCAGGAGAGGUUAUCGGAAUUCCCGGUGUAGCGGUGAAAUGCGUAGAGAUCGGGAGGAACACCAGUGGCGAAGGCGGGUAACUGGACUGCAACUGACGCUGAGGCGCGAAAGUGUGGGGAGCAAACAGGAUUAGAUACCCUGGUAGUCCACACUGUAAACGAUGAAUGCUAGGUGUAAGAGGUAUCGACCCCUUUUGUGCCGGAGUCAACACAAUAAGCAUUCCGCCUGGGGAGUACGGCCGCAAGGUUGAAACUCAAAUGAAUUGACGGGG
This 397-nucleotide ribosomal RNA is filed under the name uncultured bacterium. RNAcentral's name for it is "partial 16S ribosomal RNA". It matches the Rfam family "Bacterial small subunit ribosomal RNA", at positions 523 to 918 of the family's 1533-position model. The record is from RNAcentral.